RNAcentral lists this ribosomal RNA (371 nucleotides) under uncultured bacterium. Its description in RNAcentral is "bacterial SSU rRNA". It matches the Rfam family "Bacterial small subunit ribosomal RNA", at positions 28 to 402 of the family's 1533-position model. The record is from RNAcentral.
GACGAACGCUGGCGGCGUGCUUAACACAUGCAAGUCGAGCGGUAAGGCCCUUUUGGGGGUACACGAGCGGCGAACGGGUGAGUAACACGUGGGUGAUCUGCCCUCAGCUCUGGGAUAAGCCUGGGAAACUGGGUCUAAUACUGGAUAUGACCUUUCCUCGCAUGGGGUUGGGUGGAAAGUUUUUCGGCUGGGGAUGGGCCCGCGGCCUAUCAGCUUGUUGGUGGGGUGAUGGCCUACCAAGGCGACGACGGGUAGCCGGCCUGAGGGGGCGACCGGCCACACUGGGACUGAGACACGGCCCAGACUCCUACGGGAGGCAGCAGUGGGGAAUAUUGCGCAAUGGGCGGAAGCCUGACGCAGCGACGCCGCGU